UGGCUCGUAGCUCAGUGGUAGAGCACUACCUUGACACGGUAGGGGUCGCUGGUUCGAUCCCAGUCGAGCCAACCA
Molecule: transfer RNA, 75 nt
Filed under: Deltaproteobacteria bacterium RBG_16_71_12
Lineage: Bacteria; Deltaproteobacteria
Also listed under: 2 other names
Description: tRNA-Val
Rfam family: tRNA
About the family: Transfer RNA (tRNA) molecules are approximately 80 nucleotides in length. Their secondary structure includes four short double-helical elements and three loops (D, anti-codon, and T loops).
Source: RNAcentral